UAUUUAUUAAGCGGCAUGUCAUUCUGUAUACUACUUAUUAAACAAGUGUGAAAAAACAACAGCAGUGACUAAGGUUUAUAAAAUAUGCAGAUGAAAUGUUUUCAUAACGACUACGUAGUGUUGCGGUCGGCAUACAUUUUUUCUACCACAGAAAUGCUUCGACACUGAAAUUUAGAAUUCGUGAUUUCGUACAGACUGUUCUUUUAAACGUGCGAGCGUCGAAAAACCUGAACGGGGCAUUUCAAUUUUCCUAAACUCAAAUUAAUACAAAGGGUGGGACAGCACGGAGCCAAAAAAACACAGCGGGGAAACAGACUGAACACGUUCCCGUCAAGGAGACAACCUGUAGCCCGUUCGCACGGCGCGUCACGGGCCCGGCUCCCGGCGUCCUUUCCCGCUGAGAUUUACGGCAUUUUCUCUCCGCUAUAAGCUGGUUUUAACCAUUACCCUGGUUACCAGUCUCUGCGUCUGCUACCUUACUUGGUCUUUAAUGAGCUCUGCAUCUUCCUGGGUCAUUCUCAGGUUACCGGGGUAACAGAAAGUCGGUGACCGCCGGCCGCCACGCAACCCGACGCACGCGGGAUGGACCACAACACCGGUACCGCACUGAAAUCCGAAGGCUCUAUCAUUGAUUCUCAACCCAUGGGUUGCGACAAGUUAUGAAGGGGUCAUGAGGAAGAGUGGAAAUGGAGGAGGUGGAUUGGUUGUCCAUAUGGUGCAGGGACAACAGCCUGUCUCUCAACGUCAACAAGACUAGAGAGAUUAUUGCGGACUUCAGGAAGACACGUCCUGCCCACAUCCCACUGAGUAUCAAUGGGUCAGCUGAGGAGAUCGUAAUGAGUACCAAGUUCCUCGGUGCGCACAUAGCUGAGGAACUUACAUGGAUGAACAACACCACCUCCUUAACCAAGAAACCACAGCAGAUAUGCCACUUCCUGUGACGGCUGAAGCAGGCGAGCUUCCCCACUCCCAUUCUAACUACCUUUUACAGAGGCACCAUCGUGAGUGUUCUAACCAGCUGCAUCACUACCUGGUAUGGAAACUGCAAAACGUCCGACCACAAGCGCAUGCAGCGAAUAGUGAGAACAGCUGAGAACAUUAUCGGUGUGCCUCUCCCCUCACUUCAGGACACGUUUCACAAGCGCAGUGUUUGCAACAUUGUGUAGAACCCCUCACACCCGUCACAUGGACUUUUCACCCUUCUGCCAUCCAGGGGGAGAUUCUGAAGCAUAAGAACCAGGUCGACCAGGUUGCGGGACAAUCUUUAUCCCCAGGCUGUCAGAUUCCUUAACACCACACCGCCCCCUGGGAUCCUCAACAUUGCCUCAUCCGCCCCUUAAAAUACACAUGAGAACUCCUACACAUGCACAGCCACUUUUCCCGUACGCACACCAAAAGGACUGGAAAUUCACAUUCCAUCCGUCUAAGUAUUUUUGCACGCUACACUUGUCUCUUUGUCAUGGCUGCAGUUUAAACAAUCAUCAUUGUCCUGUACUGUGUCUAUUGAUUAACUUUGCUGUUAAAUAUUCUCUCUGUUACACAUGCUCUUAAACAUGUACUAUAAACAUCUGUUAUUACACACUGCUUCAAUACCGUAAGCAAUGCUGCUAUUUGGAUAAGCUUUGAAGGUCAAUUUUACUGCUACCUCAUAUUGCACUUUAUAUAUAUUUAAACAAUAUUUUUUCAUACCUAUAAAAACAUGACUUUACAUUUCAUCAAUGUACGUUACUCAUUACAACGCCAUGCUGCUGCGACUUCUCUGUCUUGUCUUAUUUGCAGUAGUAUCUGUACACUGCAGACCCCGAGCUUCACCCUUUUCCUCUCACUGUAUAAUUUAUAUGGUUGAGAUAACAAUAAA
Long non-coding RNA from Brienomyrus brachyistius, 1858 nucleotides. RefSeq lists it as uncharacterized. NCBI's taxonomy places the organism in Eukaryota, Metazoa, Chordata, Actinopteri, Osteoglossiformes, Mormyridae. The transcript has 3 exons. The record is from RefSeq and is a predicted model, not a curated record.